AAGACUAUACUUCACAGGAUCAUUUCUGUAGUAAGUCUUCACCAAUUAGGUUUCCAAUCUGGAUCUCAAUACAGCCACGAUGAUGAGUUGUAGCGCCUUGGCUGGAGCGUGAAAAGGGUCCAGAAGACGUAUCUCGGUACGACUUCUGGACCAUUGAGGAUCGUCAGCUUCGAGUAUUCUCGGGGUGAAGGUCAAGGUGCAAGCUGAGUGGU
Small nucleolar RNA from Lutzomyia longipalpis, 212 nucleotides. RefSeq annotates it as small nucleolar RNA U3. The transcript has a single exon. Lineage: Eukaryota; Metazoa; Arthropoda; Insecta; Diptera; Psychodidae. The record is from RefSeq and is a predicted model, not a curated record.